UCCCGGUUAGCUCAACGGGUAGAGCGUCAGACUCUUAAUCUGAAUGUCGAGGGUUCGAAUCCCUCACUGGGAG
Molecule: non-coding RNA, 73 nt
Organism: Aplysia californica (California sea hare)
Lineage: Eukaryota; Metazoa; Mollusca; Gastropoda; Aplysiida; Aplysiidae
Source: the annotation of a RefSeq genome assembly